AGAGUUUGAUCAUGGCUCAGGACUAACGCUGGCGGCGUGCCUAACACAUGCAAGUCGAACGGUAACAUGCGCUGUAGCAAUACAGUGUGAUGACGAGUGGCGGACGGGUGAGUAAUACAUACAUAACCUACCAUUUAGCCGGGGACAACCCGUGGAAACGCGGGCUAAUACCCGAUACGAUCAGUGAACCGCCUGGUUUAUUGAUGAAAUCACUUAGAGGGCUGAAUGAUGGAUGUAUGCCUGAUUAGCUAGUUGGCGGGGUAACAGCCCACCAAGGCGAUGAUCAGUAGCUGGUCUGAGAGGACGAACAGCCACACUGGAACUGAGACACGGUCCAGACUCCUACGGGAGGCAGCAGUGAGGAAUUUUGCUCAAUGGGCGCAAGCCUGAAGCAGCGACGCCGCGUGAAUGAUGAAGUCUUUCGGGAUGUAAAGUUCUUUUGGCGGGGAAAAUUAUGAUUGUACCCGCAGAAUAAGCACCGGCAAACUAUGUGCCAGCAGCCGCGGUAAUACAUAGGGUGCAAGCGUUGUCCGGAUUUACUGGGCGUAAAGAGCGUGUAGGUGGUGGAAUAAGUCAAACUUAAAAGACUCUUGGCUCAACCAGAGUUCGGGUUUGAUACUGUUUCGCUAGAGAUUGGGAGAGGAAAGUAGAACUAACAGUGUAGCGGUGAAAUGCGUAGAUAUUGUUAGGAAUACCCGUGGCGAGGGCGGCUUUCUGGACCAAUUCUGACACUGAGACGCGAAAGCGUGGGGAUCAAACAGGAUUAGAUACCCUAGUAGUCC
RNAcentral lists this ribosomal RNA (782 nucleotides) under uncultured bacterium. RNAcentral describes it as "bacterial SSU rRNA". It matches the Rfam family "Bacterial small subunit ribosomal RNA", at positions 8 to 796 of the family's 1533-position model. The record is from RNAcentral.